AGCAAGACGAAAAUAAAAAAUCCCAGUAGGGCUCAAUUCUUCUUGUGAGUCCCAGCAACCCUUCUUGGGAUAUGCCUUCCGGCUUCUCCGACGCUCAGGACCCUACCAAUCCCAUAGCAAUCUAAGGAGUCGGGACGCUGCCAAGAUUAUGCCCCUUAUCGCUUCGGGAAUGGCGCGGUCCAACCGCGUCAAUCUUCCGCCGUUAGCGGCGCGACUCGAGGCCGUGGUUCUGCCUCCGAGGUCACCACCUGCCUGGGUAGCCUUUGGCCUCCAGCCUCCAGCCUCCGGCCGUCGAUCCCUCCAAGGAGGGGCUGGACAGGGCCAGGUCGGGAGAGAUUUUAUUUAUUUGACAGAGAGACCACAAGCAGACGGAGAGAGAGGGAGAAGCAGGUUCCCUGCUGAGCAAGGAGCCUGAUGUGGGACUCGAUCCCAGGACCCUGGGAUCAUGACCUGGGCCAAAGGCAGCCGCUUAACCGACUGAGCCACCCAGGCAUCCCUCCUUUUCUUUUCUUCUUGAUCUCAGUUGUCAAAUUAUAAAACUGAAUGCUAUUCUUUGUUUCCUAUAUUAAAUUAAAGCAUGACAUGAUAUUCUCUAAAAUUCCUCACCACGCUGAACCUAUUUUUAUUUUAUUUUAUUUAUUUAUUUUUUAAAGAUUUUAUUUAUUUAUUUGAGAGAGAAAGAAUGAAAGAUAGCAUGAGAGGGAGGAGGAUCAGAGGGAGAAGCAGACUCCCUGUUGAGCAGGGAGCCCGAUGCGGGACUCGAUCCCGGGACUCCAGGAUCAUGACCUGAGCUGAAGGGAGUCACUUAACCAACUGAGCCACCCAGGCGCCCCUGGGGUUUUUUUUUUCAGAGAAAAGAUAAAGAAGCCAGCAGUUACUGCCCAAGCCACUACUGUAUAUGAAAACAAACAUUACUUCUUUAUUCCUCAUUACAAUCCCGUGAAAGAGGUAUUAUACCAUUUUAUGGAAACUGAGCUUCAGAAUGGUCAUUUUUUUCAAGGUUUUUUUUUAUUUCAACCCACAAUAAAAAAUACAUUUUAUUCUCAUGAUCACUGAAGAACACACAAAUGUGUCUUCAUUGACAUAAAGGUUUCAUGAAAUAAUACCCUAACU
Long non-coding RNA from Mirounga angustirostris (Northern elephant seal), 1113 nucleotides. RefSeq lists it as uncharacterized. The record is from RefSeq and is a predicted model, not a curated record. The transcript is spliced from 3 exons. Lineage: Eukaryota; Metazoa; Chordata; Mammalia; Carnivora; Phocidae.